GCCAGGUGGCGUGGCAGGUGCCUGUCAUCCCAGCUACUCAGGAGGGUAAAAUGGGAUGAUCGCUUGAGCCCAGGAGUUCUGGGCUGGGGUGCACUAUGCCAAUCGGGUGUCCUCACUAAGUUCGGCAUCAAUAUGGUGACCUCCCAGGAGCGGGGGACCACCAGGUUGCCUAAGGAGGGAUGAAUCAGCCCAUUUCUGAAACUGAGCAGGUCAAAACUCCCAUGCUGAUCAGUAGUGGGAUUGUGCCUGUGAAUAGCCACUGCACUCCAGCCUGGGCAACAGAGAGACCCCAUCUCUA
Callithrix jacchus (white-tufted-ear marmoset) is the source of this 298-nucleotide unclassified non-coding RNA. It matches the Rfam family "Metazoan signal recognition particle RNA". Rfam says of the family: The signal recognition particle (SRP) is a universally conserved ribonucleoprotein. It is involved in the co-translational targeting of proteins to membranes. The eukaryotic SRP consists of a 300-nucleotide 7S RNA and six proteins: SRPs 72, 68, 54, 19, 14, and 9. The record is from Ensembl. NCBI's taxonomy places the organism in Eukaryota, Metazoa, Chordata, Mammalia, Primates, Cebidae.